This is a non-coding RNA of Ictidomys tridecemlineatus (thirteen-lined ground squirrel), 1699 nucleotides long. NCBI's taxonomy places the organism in Eukaryota, Metazoa, Chordata, Mammalia, Rodentia, Sciuridae. The record is from RefSeq and is a predicted model, not a curated record.
ACAACACCUUUACGUAUUGUUACUUUGAAUAUGAAGUUAAUUUUCCUUUUUAAAACCAACAAGGAUACUCACACUCGUAAUCAUGGAAAAGGUUUUUAUUGUCUCUGUUUCUCAGCUUGGUUUGAUCUUUAAAACAGGGCUUCCAGAGCCUAAUGAUUUUCAUCUUCAAUGAAUUUUUCAGACAAUAUACAUGAGAACUUGUCAAUAGGAUUGAAGGUCAUUUUAUACCCUUGGAAAUAUUAAUAAUAUAUUCCUCAUGAAGAAACGUUUUCUUAGAUAAAAUGGCAAAUGGUGUUUGAAAGCAGAAAGAUCAAGAAAAUGUCAGGACCAACCAGCAAUUACCAUGCCGCAGCCCCUGCUAGUGAAUGAAUCCUGAGGUGUGCCCAUCUGGAAGCCCACGGCUCAUUCUGUGCUUAAAUCCUGUGCUCUUUCAAACAAUAAAUGUAGGGAAGAAAGCAAACUGUCAAAAGGGUGCUGGAAAUAGCCAGAACAGCUCAUAAAAGCAUAUAAUUCUUGAGCUGUCAUAUUCUCUACCAGCACGAUAAACACUAGAACCUCUGCCCUCUCCCAAACGUCUUGUGAUGUUGUGAACUUCCUGUUGGCACUGAAGUUUCAAUUCAAGCAUUUUGGGACACAUGUGCACCUUCCCAUAAUGAUGAAACCUCUGGUACCUGCUUAAAGCCAUUGGCUUGGACCUGCCCAUAGUCACUGUGGAUGACAAGUAUGGGCAGAAUUCUCUGCCUGACCACAGCCAGCUGUUCAUCUCUGCUAACUGCUCACUGAAGGACCUCCUGUGUUCAUCCCUGCCUUGGGGUCUGUGGCCGCCCAUUGUAGUCUUGUCAAACCUGUCUCCGGCUCUCGUAGAGCAGAUGUGCCUCAGUGAAACUUUGUCAUGGAGUGUGUCACCCCUUCUCAGCCUGUGAUUAUCACCGUGUGACAUCACCUCUGCAUGGUCACAACUGAAGCUGCGGAGUGUUUGCAAGGUCAGCGUUUGGACGGGCGCAGAGCCCUGCAUCUCUGUGGGGUUGGCGAUCUUGGAGCCUUGGUUGAACACUCAGGAGAGCUCUCUUCCUGGCCUUCUGGACCUUGCCUGUGUGUGUGGAAGGAAAUGCACUUGGUGCAGGUUUCUUUGUCAUCCUUCUCCGCAGCCCACCCUUCUCCUUUAACCUGCCUCCGACAUCAUCUCAGAUACAUUACUGCCCCGAGAUCUGAAGUCCGAUUCUCCCAGCAGACUCUUGUUCUCUCUCUGGGCUCUCUUUCUCUGCAUGUCCAUUUGGAAAAUGCUCCAGGGAGAAAGGAGAAGUGAAUACAGGGCUUAUCUCCUGGAGUUUCCUUCUUGGGAGAAGAGUAGCUCAGUGUUGGCUGGUGCACAAUGCUUGGAGACCAUUGUUUUCUGUGUCUUGUUCACAUAUUCUUCACUGAGCGUAGAGGGGGGUAAAUCUGAUCCCAGCUCUUCUGUGAAGGCUCCACAAUUGGCAUUUAACACCACGAGAUUGGGGGAGAUUCCCCAGUUAACUGGAGUCAAGAGCACAGGACGCAGAAUGAAGCCUUGGAGCACUGCCAUUUAGGAGACCUUGAGGAUAAGAAAAGAACUGAUCCAAAGAAACUGAGGAGAGCGAUGGGAGGGAUAAAAGGGAAACAAAGAGUGGGGUGUCCUGAGAGGCUCGGGAAUCUCUCACCGAGAAGAUGUGAUCUACCA